Molecule: long non-coding RNA, 242 nt
Filed under: Sorghum bicolor (sorghum)
Lineage: Eukaryota; Viridiplantae; Streptophyta; Magnoliopsida; Poales; Poaceae
Description: long non-coding RNA (SBIC_LNC015269)
Source: RNAcentral
ACUGCUUGUUAGGGCUAUAAAGAAUUGAUUUUUAGGAGAUGGAAGAGGCUUUACAUUUGUCAGCAUGCUGCUGAUCCUCCUAAAGUGUGAGCAAUGAUUGGGAUUGGCACCCACUAGAGGCAGGGUUUGUCCUUGUUCCCCAUGGAGAUUGCAGGAUUAGCAGCUGCACUGUUUUUGCUUGCUGGUUGCUGCAAGUUGAUCUGCAGUUCUGCACUGUCCUUUAUGCCUUCAGUAGUGUUUUC